UUUAAGUCUAACCUGCCCACUGAAAUUUUUAAAUGGCCGCAGUAUUUUAACUGUGCAAAGGUAGCAUAAUCAUUAGUCUUUUAAUUGAAGGCUGGAAUGAAUGGUUGGACGAAAUAUUAACUGUUUCAUUAAAAUUUUAUUUAGAAUUUUAUUUUUUAAUCAAAAAGUUAAAAUGAUUUUAAAAGACGAGAAGACCCUAUAAAUCUUUAUAUAAAUUAUAAUUUUUGUUAAUAAGAUAAAUUUUAUAAUAAUUAUAAUUUAUAUUUUAUUGGGGUGAUAUUAAAAUUUAAUAAACUUUUAAUUUAAAAAUUACAUUAAUUUAUGAAUUAUUGAUCCAUUAAUAAUGAUUAAAAAAUUAAGUUACUUUAGGGAUAACAGCGUAAUUUUUUUGGAGAGUUCUUAUCGAUAAAAAAGAUUGCGACCUCGAUGUUGGAUUAAGAUAUAAUUUUGGGUGUAGCCGUUCAAAUUUUAAGUCUGUUCGACUUUUAAAUUCUUACAUGAUCUGAGUUCAAACCGGUGUAAGCCAGGUUGGUUUCUAUCUUUAAAAAAUUAUAAUAUUUUAGUACGAAAGGAUUAAAUAUUAAAAUUAUUUAUUUUUAAUAAGAAUAUAAUUAAUUU
Molecule: ribosomal RNA, 618 nt
Filed under: Chymomyza procnemis
Lineage: Eukaryota; Metazoa; Arthropoda; Insecta; Diptera; Drosophilidae
Description: partial 16S ribosomal RNA
Rfam family: Bacterial large subunit ribosomal RNA (bases 371-530)
Source: RNAcentral